AUUGCAUGCUAUAUGAUGUUGCUCAAAUGAACAUGUUUUACAAAAUAAAUCCUCAAUAGAUAUCCAUUGUCUAGGCCUACUACUCAACCAUUUUUGAAAUGACUACAGAAGAGGUAUCAUCACUGAUGACCAAGCUGAUUGGCUCUAGUGCAAGUGGGAGAUUGUUGGAAAUCUGCCCUAAAACCAAUCAUAUGAUGAUACUUUACGGACAUUUCACAUGUUAAACUAAUAUAGUUUAACAUAAAGGGAAAAGAUUAUUGUUUGAAGCCAUCUCAUAUAAAUGUUAUACGCUUAAACGACAAGUCCAAGGAAUAUAUAAUUGGGAGAAUGCGAUCUAAAGAAGUUAGAUUCAUGAGACCAUUCUCUUUCGUAUACAUAUCCUAAACGUUCCUGAUCAUAGGAUUGUCAAUUGGGCAUUGAUAUUCCGUUAAGAUCAGUACGUGCUAUGUCUUCUCUUAAGGAGAGUGACUGGUCUCAAGUCAUUGGUGUGACUGACACCAAGACAAGUACGUAGGUGCUCAAUAGAGAAUGAGUUCACUAAACGCGAUCAACAAGAAGUUCUCAUACUCAUGUCACAUGAGAACUCAUGGUUGGGAUAAUGCAAAGUAGUCCUUUGACCUGAGGCAUCAUAGUUGUCUUGUGGUUAGGUCCUUGAUCUUUGACUAUGUCAAAGUCACUCCAUGUGUCCACGACAUAGUUGGGGUUAAGCCACUUAGCCAAGGGGGCAAGUGAAUGCGCAACAAGGGAUCUCUAACCUUCACACCGUUUGAGGGAGAAUACUCUAUGAUAUGAUUAAGAAUCUCUGGCCAUAGUAUGAAUGAGAUUUAGGAAGUCGUUCCAAAUCACAUUCAAGGUAAUCAUAUAAGUAAGAGAAUCAUAUUGGAUAGAAGACAUGAAUAAACUAUCAAACCAAACAAUGUGGUCAAGAGUAUUAUAUUAGAGAAAGACCGUAUUGCAUUGUAAUCCUAAACUGAAUAGGUUCUCCACCUCUUCUGAUUAGCUUGGGUAACCAUGACAUACUGCUAGGUGUCACUCAUGGUUUGUGGAAGCCCUAAACAUGUAUAAUCACAAAAGGGAGAAUUGAAAGUAAGUUUCAAUUCACAAUCGAUUGUUAAGAGUAACAAUCGCCCACUGCCUAGUUAAAAGGAACCUAAUGGAUCGUACACCGUGUAAGGUAGAGAUUGAAGAAACAACGGAGAUAAGUCAGGAUAAUUAAAUGGUUUAAUUAUUUAUGGCUAAGAUUAAUUAAUAUGUUAAUUAAUCAAACGAAUAAGUUUGUUAUCGACCUAAGGUUAGUUUUGGGCCGCAAGGCCCAAUGGGAUUUGAAUGUCAAGCCCAUUAACUCAACUUGUAUGACAACUUGAAUAAACAAAGGUCUUGAAAGCCCAAUAAACCCUUAAGGCCGGCCAAAUAGAGGAGGGUAGUGAACUUGCUUUAAUUGCAAGUUUGCCACUUCAUUAUGAGGUGGUAUAAAGGCAACUUUAUAGCCAUUUCAUCCUUCGGGUUUCUUUUGGAGAAAAAUUGGAGAGAACAUUGUAGACAUCGAAAUUUCGGUAAAUAAAUGUUGACCGAUAAAUCAAAGUGUCAACGCUCAUGUAUUACAUAAAUUUUACACAUAGCGUGUGACUCAACGAAAAUUGAAAUGAGUUGGAAAAGUCAUCAAAUAGGACACGUGUCAACACCUGGCAGAAACGACUUAUUUCAUCUGGAAUAUUAUAUUCAAAAUUAGGCCUUGGAAAAUUCUAUAAAUAGAAGGCAAUUUCAUUCAUUUGAGGAACCAAUUCAUAUUACACCUUGAAGCUCUGAAGCUCUGAAACUCCGAAGCUCUCAAGCAUCCAAGUUCCCGAAGAAUCAAGAAAGCCUUCUUCGUUCUUCGUUCAUCAUUCUUCCAAGAUCAAGCCCCGACGGCCCUUGGAUCAACAAUCAUCCACCAAUUCAAGAUCAAGCCCCGACGGCCCUUGAAGAAAGUGUUCUUCGUUCUUCGUUCAUCGUUCUUCCAAGAUCAAGCCCCGACGGCCCUUGGAUCAACCAUCCACUAAUUCAAGAUCAAGCCCCGACGGCCCCUGAAGAAAGCACCAUCGUUCAUCAUCCGUUCAUCCAAGAUCAAGCCCCAACGGCCCUUUGGAUCAACAACGUCGACAAAUCCACACAUCCAACCGUUCUUCAAGAUCAAGCCCAAAAGCCCUUGGAGAUCCGUUCAUCACUGUUCUU
This 2211-nucleotide long non-coding RNA is filed under the name Malus domestica (apple). RNAcentral describes it as "long non-coding RNA (MDOM_LNC019054)". The record is from RNAcentral. Lineage: Eukaryota; Viridiplantae; Streptophyta; Magnoliopsida; Rosales; Rosaceae.